UACGAGGGGUGCAAGCGUUAUUCGGAAUCACUGGGCGUAAAGGGUGUGCAGACGGUUUAUUAAGUUGCUUGUUUAAUUCUUCGGCCUAACCGAAGGCUCGCAAGCAAAACUGGUAGACUUGAGGAUGGAAGAGAGAAGUGGAAUUCUCGGAGUAGCGGUAAAAUGCGUAGAUCUCGAGAGGAACACCAAUGGCGAAGGCAGCUUCUUGGUCCAUUCCUGACGUUCAUACACGAAAGCGUGGGGAGCAAAC
RNAcentral lists this ribosomal RNA (250 nucleotides) under uncultured bacterium. Its description in RNAcentral is "partial 16S ribosomal RNA". It matches the Rfam family "Bacterial small subunit ribosomal RNA", at positions 524 to 773 of the family's 1533-position model. The record is from RNAcentral.